UGGGACAGUGUCCCACGCAGCCGGGAGAAAUAUCUAGGAACAGCGUGGGAAGGUGGAGCUUUAUGGCCAAUAAAUAGGGUACAAAGUUGUUUUCCGUCAGUGCCUACAUGCCAAAUAGACACUCGAAGGCUUCCUUUUUACCCGAGAAAGCCGGGCGGGCUGGGGGUGGGGGGGACGGUGAGGGCGUCAGGCCUUGAGGGCGUGGGAUCAUGUACCAGUCCUGAUCCCGGAAUAAUUGAAUGAAAGCAAGCUCAGACCUACUUAACCAACUAAGAAAUAUCUACAGCUUGAAGUAUACUAAUUUUUGGAAGUGGAUGUGAUGCAGGCAGGCCAGUCUGAGGACACGGGAGGGGGGCCCCAAAGGACGAGCCAAAAGGAUUCCUGGCUUCGGGCAGGAUAGAAAUCACAUGUGAAAAGUUUAUGGAAUAGCGGGAGUGACCGAGAAUAGCAGAGGGAGUGUCUGGGAGACUCCAAAGGGGGAAUGAGUCUAGGGGUUGCUUUGGGUUAGGGAUUUAUAUUGGAAAGGUGUCCAGGGUAUGUGUUCCUUGAGGAUUCCAGGAGAGGGGCCAAAGGCACAUGACAGGUGAAUAUUAGGUGUUAUUUUAGAAGGUCCGCGGUGUUGAUGCCAGCCUCAGCCCAGAUUUGAUCGAAGCUAAUGUCCUGGAAUGAGUUUGGGAUCUGGCUCUUUUUAGAUGUUAUCCGGUGUCUGAGAACUUAGGACAGAACUCAGAGAAUAACUUUCUUAUUUCCCCCUUGGAGUGGGAACAUAGCUCCUCUGGUUUAUGCAAACGCAAAAAAUAGAACAUGAGUAAAUGGGGCCUAGCAGAAGAACAGCAGAGAUGGAGCCUUUCUAAAAAUGGAGUCCCUUCCGUUUCCCUAUCUCAGAUGCUUUAUCUGUGCUGGCAGUUGUCUACUUCCAGAAGUCUCCUGCAGCACUCCUGUUCCUUUUAGGGCCAGAGGCUCCUAGGGCCUGACUUUUAGAACAGGAGGCCCACGAGGCAAGUCAGUCACAGCUGGUUUGCUGCUUCCUUCAGUGUCAGUCCGUGUUGACUAAGGGCUUGCCAUAUCCCUGGUUGGUGGGUGGAGAGCCAGAUAAGACCAGACUCUGACACCCAGUGAAUCCCAACGAGGGAGCACUGCAUAAGACUCCGUAUCCUUUACUCCCAGGAUCUAGAGUCUGAGACUACUCUGCCUCUUAAAAACUUCUCUGUGCCAGGGGAGCAAAUACUUCAAGAUCCGUUUUGAAGGCACUUUCAAGUAAAUGGCCAGCUUUGCACUCAUCUCCUUUUCCCCAGUGGGACCUCCUUUUUCUGCAAGAGUCACUAAAGAUCAGAAACAUAAUAGGAUACAGUGGCCUUCUGAGAAGCUCAGCUGAUUAACUCAUGAAAAUAGAAGUUGGAGAAGUUGAGAUGUUGGAUACAAAAGGCAACAAAUUACAUCACAAAAUGAUUCUGGAAUCCGUACAACUGACUACUCUCCUGCACAUGGGAAAAUCCUUUUUCCUCUCAACCAAUCAAGUUAAUCCUACUUCCCAGGCCAGUGACUAGUUUACAAACGGGCAGAGGGUAUAAUUCUAGCCAAUGAGACACAAUGUCCCGGGGUGGUCGUGGUGCUCGGAAAAGAUGUGCAUUGGAAGAAAGUUAUUUCUGUUCUUCUUCUAAUGAGGCUGUUUCUACAUGUACACCUCCUGUAAUAGCCCAGCCAUCUUGGCACUGUGAAGGGAGCUGGAAGAAAGAUGGAAACAACAGUGACAAUGUUGAGUUGAAGAAUUAACGAAGUCUAAAGUUUCUACCUCUGGACUCGUUAUAGGAAAUAAAUUUUCCUUAUUGUUUAAGCCA
This is a long non-coding RNA of Prionailurus viverrinus (fishing cat), 1838 nucleotides long. RefSeq lists it as uncharacterized. The record is from RefSeq and is a predicted model, not a curated record. Lineage: Eukaryota; Metazoa; Chordata; Mammalia; Carnivora; Felidae. The transcript is spliced from 3 exons.